AACCCCCCCCCCGGCAACCCUGAGGGAGAAGCGGCUUAGAAAAUGGAUGGAUGGAUGAAUAAUUAGACAUAUCAUUCUGAUAGGUGAUCAAAUGAAAAGCUCUCGGUGAGGGGACUCAGACUUUUGGACCCCGCUCAAUGUAGCAUUUAUUUUCUUCUAGUUAUCAAAUUAUGUCUCCACAUCAGUGGCUGGAUCUACUGAGUGAAUCUGAUGUCUGAUGGAGUCUGCUAAUAGGUGAUUGGUCUAUCCAGAGAGCCUGAUUUGCAUAGACCGACUGCAGUACAGUAAGGCAGGUCUGUGAGGAGGAGAGCCGGAAGUUUCACGGCUUAAUUGAUGCCUUUCCACGUAACCAUGACAACUCGAGGAGACAGGCCGUCACUAUGGAGAUCGGAACUGAUGUCAGAGUCUCUGUCACACAUGGCUUUAGUGAGGAGGGGGGCGUUUACUGACGGGAAAGGAGCUGAGAGCUGCUGGGAGAGGAUCAGAGAUGCAACAGUGGGAAUCUCUGUUUGUUUUCUAGGUGUUUCCAAAGCAGCAGAGGCUUAACGUGAAGUAGCUGAGCGGCUGGUGUAAGUGAGCAGGAGUGUGUGGACGGUGUGUGUGGG
Long non-coding RNA from Pygocentrus nattereri (red-bellied piranha), 605 nucleotides. The record is from Ensembl. NCBI's taxonomy places the organism in Eukaryota, Metazoa, Chordata, Actinopteri, Characiformes, Serrasalmidae.